RNAcentral lists this unclassified non-coding RNA (222 nucleotides) under Hevea brasiliensis (rubber tree). The record is from RNAcentral. Lineage: Eukaryota; Viridiplantae; Streptophyta; Magnoliopsida; Malpighiales; Euphorbiaceae.
UUAAUUCAUAUUAUUUAAAAAUGAAACAAUUUUAUUCCUCAAGUUUGAUUUCGUUGCUUAUCCACUCAAAAGUCAACGAUUUAAGACGUUAGUCAAAGAAAAAUAUGACACAAAAUCAUCAGUUCCAAAACUGCUUCUGUUGCUCAUGGCGUAAGAUUGAAUAUCCUACUCCUGAAGUAGACACCUGGAUGUCGUCUCCUCCUCCAAAGGACUGGGUUAAGA